RNAcentral lists this signal recognition particle RNA (295 nucleotides) under Phascolarctos cinereus (koala). RNAcentral's name for it is "Metazoan signal recognition particle RNA (ENSPCIG00000029851.2)". It matches the Rfam family "Metazoan signal recognition particle RNA". From Rfam's summary of the family: The signal recognition particle (SRP) is a universally conserved ribonucleoprotein. It is involved in the co-translational targeting of proteins to membranes. The eukaryotic SRP consists of a 300-nucleotide 7S RNA and six proteins: SRPs 72, 68, 54, 19, 14, and 9. The record is from RNAcentral. Lineage: Eukaryota; Metazoa; Chordata; Mammalia; Diprotodontia; Phascolarctidae.
GCUGGCCAUGUUGGUGCACACCUAUAAUCCUAGCUCCCAGGAGGCUGACACUGGUGGAUCUAUUCUGCUCGGGAUUCUUAGCUGCAGUGGUCUGUGUCAAUGGGGUGUCCACACUAAGUUCAGUAUUAAUAUGGAAAGUCCCAGGUGAGUGGGGUCGUAUAGCCAGCAAGUUGCUUAAGGAGAGGUGAACUGACCUAGUUCAGAAACAGAGCAGGUCAAAGCUCCCAUGCUUAUCACAGUGAGACCCACCUCCUGAGCCACUUCCAGUGUGAGUGAGAUAGAUAACCCAGUCUUA